This 507-nucleotide ribosomal RNA is filed under the name uncultured bacterium. RNAcentral describes it as "partial 16S ribosomal RNA". It matches the Rfam family "Bacterial small subunit ribosomal RNA", at positions 28 to 507 of the family's 1533-position model. The record is from RNAcentral.
GACGAACGCUGGCGGCGUGCCUAAUACAUGCAAGUCGAACGCAUUUUCUUUCAACGUUGCUUGCUACACCGGAAGGAAGUGGAGGGCGGACGGGGGGGUAACACGUUGGUAACCUGCCCAUCAGCGGGGGAUAACACUUGGAAAACGGUGCUUAUACCGCAUAAAUCCAUUUACCCGAUGGUAGGUGGGUGAAAGGCGCUUUUGCGGCAAUGGUGGAUGGACCCGCGGUGCAUUAGCUAGUUGGUGGGGUAACGGCCUACCAAGGCUGCGAUGCAUAGCCGACCUGAGAGGGUGAUCGGCCACACUGGGACUGAGACACGGCCCAGACUCCUACGGGAGGCAGCAGUAGGGAAUCUUCGGCAAUGGACGCAAGUCUGACCGAGCAACGCCGCGUGAGUGAAGAAGGUUUUCGGAUUGUAAAACUCUGUUGUUAGAGAAGAACAAGGAUGAGAGUGGAAAGUUCAUCCCUUGACGGUAUCUAACCAGAAAGCCACGGCUAACUACGUG